RNAcentral lists this ribosomal RNA (1506 nucleotides) under uncultured prokaryote. RNAcentral's name for it is "partial 16S ribosomal RNA". It matches the Rfam family "Bacterial small subunit ribosomal RNA". The record is from RNAcentral.
AGAGUUUGAUCCUGGCUCAGAUUGAACGCUGGCGGCAGGCCUAACACAUGCAAGUCGAGCGGAAACGAGAAGUAGCUUGCUACUUCGGCGUCGAGCGGCGGACGGGUGAGUAAUGCCUAGGAAGUUGCCCAGUAGAGGGGGAUAACCAUUGGAAACGAUGGCUAAUACCGCAUAAUCUCUUUGGAGCAAAGCAGGGGACCUUCGGGCCUUGCGCUAUUGGAUACGCCUAGGUGGGAUUAGCUAGUUGGUGAGGUAAUGGCUCACCAAGGCAACGAUCCCUAGCUGGUCUGAGAGGAUGAUCAGCCACACUGGAACUGAGACACGGUCCAGACUCCUACGGGAGGCAGCAGUGGGGAAUAUUGCACAAUGGGCGAAAGCCUGAUGCAGCCAUGCCGCGUGUAUGAAGAAGGCCUUCGGGUUGUAAAGUACUUUCAGUCGUGAGGAAGGGGGUAAGCUUAAUACGCUUAUCUCUUGACGUUAGCGACAGAAGAAGCACCGGCUAACUCCGUGCCAGCAGCCGCGGUAAUACGGAAGGUGCGAGCGUUAAUCGGAAUUACUGGGCGUAAAGCGCAUGCAGGUGGUUCAAUAAGUCAGAUGUGAAAGCCCCGGGCUCAACCUCGGAACUGCAUUUGUAACUGUUGGACUAGAGUACUGUAGAGGGGGGUAGAAUUUCAGGUGUAGCGGUGAAAUGCGUUGAGAUCUGAAGGAAUACCAGUGGCGAAGGCGGCCUUCUGGACAGAUACUGACACUCAGAUGCGAAAGCGUGGGUAGCAAACAGGAUUAGAUACCCUGGUAGUCCACGCUGUAAACGAUGUCUACUUGGAGGUUGUGGCCUUGAGCCGUGGCUUUCGGAGCUAACGCGUUAAGUAGACCGCCUGGGGAGUACGGUCGCAAGAUUAAAACUCAAAUGAAUUGACGGGGGCCCGCACAAGCGGUGGAGAAUGUGGUUUAAUUCGAUGCAACGCGAAGAACCUUACCUACUCUUGACAUCCAGAGAAUUCGCUAGAGAUAGCUUAGUGCCUUCGGGAACUCUGAGACAGGUGCUGCAUGGCUGUCGUCAGCUCGUUGCGUGAGAUGUUGGGUUAAGUCCCGUAACGAGCGCAACCCUUGUCCUUAUUUGCCAGCACGUAAUGGUGGGAACUUUAGGGAUACUGCCGGUGAUAAGCCGGAGGAAGGUGGGGACGACGUCAAGUCAUCAUGGCCCUUACGGGAUGGGCUACACACGUGCUACAAUGGUGCAUACAGAGGGUUGCCAACCAGCGAUGGGGAGCUAAUCCCAGAAAGUGCAUCUUAGUCCGGAUUGGAGUCUGCAACUCGACUCCAUGAAGUCGGAAUCGCUAGUAAUCGUGGAUCAGAAUGCCACGGUGAAUACGUUCCCGGGCCUUGUACACACCGCCCGUCACACCAUGGGAGUGGGAUGCAAAAGAAGUGGCUAGUUUAACCUUUCGGGGAGGACGGUCACCACUUUGUGUUUCAUGACUGGGGUGAAGUCGGAACAAGGUAACC